CCAUCAUUCGAAGCCCUAAUUCUCGAGCUUCCAACGAUCCUGGUUCUCGAUUUAUCGGCGAAUAGGGAUUGUUCCAGAGGUAAAAACAGGGGUUUCCCAGUUUUCUGGAAAUGAGCAUAGCGUGUGGUUGCGCGUGAGCAAGCGCCGAGCUUGGACGCCAUUUUGGUUUGAAAGAAACACGGACGUCGUGUGAUCAGCGAGAUAUGGGACUUGGAAGUGAGCGAGCGGCGGUGGAUUUUAAUUUAUUUUCUUUUCUGGAGUUAGCUCUCGAAGUUAGCGCUUGAUUGAGUGAAGCGUAAUCUAUCGUUUCGAUUUUCUCUUUUUUUUUCUUCUCUCUUCUUUUUGUUUUUUUUUAGAAAGUGAAAGAG
This 368-nucleotide unclassified non-coding RNA is filed under the name Hevea brasiliensis (rubber tree). The record is from RNAcentral. Lineage: Eukaryota; Viridiplantae; Streptophyta; Magnoliopsida; Malpighiales; Euphorbiaceae.